GGAUCCAGACUUUGGAUCAUGGCUCAGGAUGAACGCUAGCUACAGGCUUAACACAUGCGAGUCGAGGGGCAGCAUGGUCUUAGCUUGCUAAGGCCGAUGGCGACCGGCGCGCGGGUGAGUAACACGUAUCCAACCUGCCGUCUACUCUUGGACAGCCUUCUGAAAGGAAGAUUAAAACAAGAUGGCAUCAUGAGUUCACAUGUUCACAUGAUUAAAGGUAUUCCGGUAGACGAUGGGGAUGCGUUCCAUUAGAUAGUAGGCGGGGUAACGGCCCACCUAGUCUUCGAUGGAUAGGGGUUCUGAGAGGAAGGUCCCCCACAUUGGAACUGAGACACGGUCCAAACUCCUACGGGAGGCAGCAGUGAGGAAUAUUGGUCAAUGGGCGAGAGCCUGAACCAGCCAAGUAGCGUGAAGGAUGACUGCCCUAUGGGUUGUAAACUUCUUUUAUAAAGGAAUAAAGUCGGGUAUGGAUACCCGUUUGCAUGUACUUUAUGAAUAAGGAUCGGCUAACUCCGUGCCAGCAGCCGCGGUAAUACGGAGGAUCCGAGCGUUAUCCGGAUUUAUUGGGUUUAAAGGGAGCGUAGAUGGAUGUUUAAGUCAGUUGUGAAAGUUUGCGGCUCAACCGUAAAAUUGCAGUUGAUACUGGAUAUCUUGAGUGCAGUUGAGGCAGGCGGAAUUCGUGGUGUAGCGGUGAAAUGCUUAGAUAUCACGAAGAACUCCGAUUGCGAAGGCAGCCUGCUAAGCUGCAACUGGCAUUGAGGCUCGAAAGUGUGGGUAUCAAACAGGAUUAGAUACCCUGGUAGUCCACACGGUGAACGAUGAAUACUCGCUGUUGGGCGAUAUA
RNAcentral lists this ribosomal RNA (844 nucleotides) under uncultured bacterium. RNAcentral describes it as "bacterial SSU rRNA". It matches the Rfam family "Bacterial small subunit ribosomal RNA", at positions 1 to 834 of the family's 1533-position model. The record is from RNAcentral.